RNAcentral lists this ribosomal RNA (253 nucleotides) under uncultured bacterium. RNAcentral describes it as "partial 16S ribosomal RNA". It matches the Rfam family "Bacterial small subunit ribosomal RNA", at positions 524 to 776 of the family's 1533-position model. The record is from RNAcentral.
UACGGAGGGUGCGAGCGUUGUUCGGAAUCACUGGGCGUAAAGGGCGUGUAGGCGGUCCGCUAAGUCUGAUGUGAAAGCCCGGGGCUCACCCCCGGAAGUGCAUUGGAAACUGGCGAACUCGAGUCCCGGAGAGGAGAGUGGAAUUCCUGGUGUAGCGGUGAAAUGCGUAGAUAUCUGGAGGAACACCGGUGGCGAAGGCGGCAUCCUGGACCAACACUGACGCUGAGGAGCGAAAGCCAGGGGAGCAAACGGG